RNAcentral lists this ribosomal RNA (305 nucleotides) under uncultured bacterium. RNAcentral describes it as "bacterial SSU rRNA". It matches the Rfam family "Bacterial small subunit ribosomal RNA", at positions 333 to 630 of the family's 1533-position model. The record is from RNAcentral.
UCAGUCCUACGGGGCGCAGCAGUGGGGAAUAUUGCGCAAUGGGCGAAAGCCUGACGCAGCGACGCCGCGUGAGGGAUGAAGGUCUUCGGAUCGUAAACCUCUGUCAGCAGGGAAGAACGGUCACUGUGCUAAUCAGCAGUGAAUUGACGGUACCUGCAAAGGAAGCACCGGCUAACUCCGUGCCAGCAGCGGCGGUAAUACGGAGGGUGCGAUCGUUAAUCGGAAUUACUGGGCGUAAAGCGCUCGUAGUCGGUAUGUCAAGUCAAGGGUGAAAUCCCCGCGCUCAACGUGGGAACUGCGUUUGA